AUGAGCUUCCGGGUGGGAAACGUUUUAAACUAAUGGUCGUGGAUUUAUGAAUUGAACUAUGAAUGGUAAAUCUGUGAUGAAUGGUGAAUGAAUAUUGAUUGUUGUUUAUUCAUUAUGAUGGUUGUAUCCUUGUUAUAUUCUUGUAUUUGUGCGACGCCGUGCAAAUACAGGGGAGACUCUGUCCGUGUGAACAGUGGAUUUCCUGUAUUUGUGGCGGAUCUGGCAUACCCUGGG
Molecule: long non-coding RNA, 234 nt
Filed under: Ananas comosus (pineapple)
Lineage: Eukaryota; Viridiplantae; Streptophyta; Magnoliopsida; Poales; Bromeliaceae
Description: long non-coding RNA (ACOM_LNC030410)
Source: RNAcentral